This 3672-nucleotide ribosomal RNA is filed under the name Triticum aestivum (bread wheat). RNAcentral's name for it is "partial small subunit ribosomal RNA". The record is from RNAcentral. Lineage: Eukaryota; Viridiplantae; Streptophyta; Magnoliopsida; Poales; Poaceae.
AUGGCUGGAUUCGUUGAUGCACUGAGGCCGGAUAAGUUUACCGGUGUGCACUUUAAGAGGUGGCAGGUGAAGACCACGCUCUGGCUUACUGCUCUGAAAGUUUUCCACGCUAGUGUUGGUGCUCCAGAGGGAAUGACCGACGAAGAUCGGAGAAAAUUCCAGGAAGCCAAUACUAUGUUUGUGGGAUGCAUUCUGAGUGUUCUUGCUGACCGUCUGUGUGAUGUGUACAUGCACAUAAACGACGGAAAAAUUCUGUGGGAUGCACUGAAUGCAAAAUUCGGUGCAACAGAUGCAGGCAGUGAAUUGUACAUCAUGGAGAGUUUUCAUGACUACAAGAUGGUGAAUAAGCGUUCUGUUGUUGAACAAGCUCAUGAGAUACAGUGCAUUGUGAAGGAACUUGAACUCCUUAAAUGUGUUCUACCCGACAAAUUCGUGGCUGGGUGCAUGAUUGCAAAGUUGCCUCCUUCAUGGAGGAAUUUCGCCACAACUCUGAAGCAUAAGAGACAGGAGAUAUCAGUUGAAAAUCUGAUUGCAUCUCUUGAUGUUGAAGAAAAAGCUCGGGCUAAAGAUACCACUGAAAAAGGAGGUGAGGUUCAGCCUACUGCUAACAUGGUGCAGAGGUACCCACAGAACAAGAACAAAGGGAAGAACAAACCUGUUUUCAACAAACCUACCAAGACUACUACCUUCAAGAAGAAGAAGUUCAACAAGGCUGAGCUAGAGUGCUAUGUCGCAAGGGAUUCUUCCGUCCUAAUGGGGAAUGGGUCACAUGCUUCUGUUCGUGGCAUUGGCACGGUGGAUCUGAAGUUUACUUCGGGAAAGAUCGUGCAACUAAGGAACGUGCAACAUGUCCCUACUAUGAACAAGAAUCUAGUUAGCGGCUCCCUUCUAUGUCGAGAUGGAUUUAAGGUAGUUUUAGAGUCCAAUAAAGUAAUCGUGUCAAGAUUUGGACAAUUUAUAGGAAAAGGCUAUGAGUGCGGAGGCUUGUUCCGCUUUUCUCUUUCAGAUUUUUGCAAUAAGUCAAUAAACCAAAUUUGUGCUAAUGUUAAUGAUGAUGCAAGUAUUUGGCACUCUCGUUUAUGUCAUAUUAAUUUUGGUUUAAUGUCUCGGCUAUCCAGCAUGAGUUUAAUUCCAAACUUCACAGUUGCCAAAGGUUCUAAGUGCCAUAGUUGUGUGCAAUCUAAGCAACCUCGAAAGCCUCAUAAGGCUGCCGAGGAGAGAAACUUGGCACCUCUAGAACUCAUACAUUCUGAUCUUUGUGAGAUGAAUGGUGUGUUGACAAAAGGUGGAAAGAGAUAUUUCAUGACUUUGAUUGAUGAUGCGACUAGAUUUUGCUAUGUUUAUUUGUUGCAAACUAAAGAUGAAGCAUUAGACUACUUUAAAAUCUAUAAAGCUGAAGUUGAAAAUCAACUAGAGAGAAAGAUCAAGCGUCUUAGGUCCGAUCGUGGUGGAGAGUAUUUUCCAAAAGUUUUUGAUGAAUUUUGUGAGGAACAUGGUAUUAUUCAUGAGAGGACGCCUCCCUAUUCACCUCAAUCAAAUGGAGUGGCCGAGAGGAAAAACCGCACAUUGACUGACUUGGUGAAUGCCAUGUUAGACACUGCUGGUUUAUCUAAGGCAUGGUGGGGGGAGGCUCUAUUGACUUCAUGUCAUGUCCUGAAUAGAGUUCCCAACAAUAAUAAAGAGAAAACCCCUUAUGAGGAGUGGGUUGGGAGAAAACCAUCACUUUCUUAUUUGCGCACUUGGGGAUGUUUGGCAAAGGUCAAUAUUCCUAUUCCUAAGAAACGCAAACUUGGACCAAAGAUAGUGGAUUGUGUCUUUCUAGGGUAUGCUCAACGGAGCAUUGCUUAUAGGUUUUUAGUGGUAAAAUCUGAAGUACCUGAUAUGCAUGUUGAUACUAUAAUGGAAUCUCGUGAUGCAACAUUUUUUGAGAACAUAUUUCCUAUGAAAGAUAUGCAUAGCAUUGCUAGAUUUUCUUCUGAGAUAAUUCCUGAAUCUAGUACAACUGAUGAAUAUUUCGAACAAUCACAUGAGGAAGUCCUUGAGAAGGAUAACAAUGAAGUUCCUAGAAGGAACAAGAGACAAAGGAUUGCAAAAUCCUUUGGUGAUGAUUUCAUUGUAUACCUUGUGGACGACACACCCAAGACGAUUGCAGAAGCAUAUGCAUCUCCGGAUGUAGAUGAUUGGAAAGAAGCUGUUCAUAAUGAGAUGGACUCAAUUCUUUCUAAUGGAACUUGGGAACUAAUUGAUAGACCAUAUGGUUGUAAACCUGUGGGCUGUAAGUGGGUGUUCAAAAGGAAGCUAAAGCCUGAUGGUACUAUUGAUAAGUACAAGGCGCGGCUAGUGGCCAAGGGCUACACUCAGAAAGAAGGCGAAGAUUACUUUGACACCUAUUCACCCGUUGCUAGAAUGACCACCAUUCAAGUGUUACUUUCCUUGGCUGCCUCUUAUGGUCUUAUCAUUCAUCAAAUGGAUGUAAAGACAGCUUUUCUCAAUGGAGAGUUGGAAGAGGAGAUCUAUAUGGAUCAGCCUGACGGGUUUGUGGUAAAGGGUGAAGAGAGAAAGGUGUGCAAGUUGUUAAAAUCUUUGUAUGGUCUGAAACAGGCACCUAAGCAAUGGCAUGAGAAGUUUGAAAGAACUUUGACUUCUGCAGGAUUUGUCAUUAACGAGGCUGAUAGGUGUGUUUACUAUCGCCAUGGUGGGGGCAAUAGUGUCAUAUUAUGUUUGUAUGUGGACGACAUACUGAUCUUUGGUACAAACAUUAAUGCGAUUAAUGAGGUCAAGUCUUUUCUAUCAAAAAGUUUUGACAUGAAAGAUCUGGGAGAAGUCGAUGUAAUUCUAAACAUCAAACUUAUUAAGGAUGAGAGUGGGAUUACAUUAACACAAUCUCACUAUGUUGAGAAGGUCUUGAACCGAUUCGGUUUUAUGGAUAGCAAGCCUUCUCCAACACCUUAUGAUCCCAGCGUGACACUCAGAAAGAACAAGAAAGAAACGAGAGAUCAAUUAAGAUACUCUCAAAUUGUCGGUUCACUCAUGUACUUAGCUAGCGCUACAAGACCAGAUAUCUCUUUUGCUGUGAGCAAACUGAGUAGGUUCAUGUCCAACCCGGGUGAUGAUCAUUGGCAUGCACUAGAAAGGGUCUUGCGCUAUCUGAGAGGUACUAUGAGUUACGGAAUUACUUAUUCAGGGCAUCCUGCUGUGCUAGAAGGAUAUAGUGAUUCAAAUUGGAUCUCCGAUGUUGAUGUACUUUACGCAACAAGUGGGUAUGUAUUUACUCAUGGUGGUGGCGCAGUGUCAUGGAGGUCUUGCAAGCAAACCAUAUUGACGAGGUCAACUAUGGAAGCAGAAUUAACUGCUUUGGACACAGCUACUGUUGAGGCAGAAUGGUUGCGUGACCUCUUGAUGGACUUGCCGGUUGUUGAAAAACCUGUACCGGCUAUUCUUAUGAAUUGUGAUAACCAAACGGUUAUCGCUAAAGUGAACAAUUCUAAAGAUAAUGCAAAGUCAUCAAGACACGUGAAAAGACGUUUGAAGUCUGUCAGGAAGUUGAGAAACUCCGGAGUAAUAACUGUUACGUAUAUACAAACAGACAAAAACCUGGCAGAUCCCUUUACAAAGGGACUAUCACGAAAUGUGAUAGAUAUUGCAUCGAGGGAGAUGGGUAUGAGACCCAUA